UGGAAAGUUAUGUUUACCCAA
RNAcentral lists this non-coding RNA (21 nucleotides) under Caenorhabditis elegans. Lineage: Eukaryota; Metazoa; Nematoda; Chromadorea; Rhabditida; Rhabditidae. The record is from RNAcentral.